RNAcentral lists this ribosomal RNA (380 nucleotides) under uncultured Nostoc sp. RNAcentral describes it as "bacterial SSU rRNA". It matches the Rfam family "Bacterial small subunit ribosomal RNA", at positions 376 to 770 of the family's 1533-position model. The record is from RNAcentral. Lineage: Bacteria; Bacillati; Cyanobacteriota; Cyanophyceae; Nostocales; Nostocaceae.
CGAAAGCCUGACGGAGCAAUACCGCGUGAGGGAGGAAGGCUCUUGGGUUGUAAACCUCUUUUCUCAGGGAAGAACACAAUGACGGUACCUGAGGAAUCAGCAUCGGCUAACUCCGUGCCAGCAGCCGCGGUAAUACGGAGGAUGCAAGCGUUAUCCGGAAUGAUUGGGCGUAAAGCGUCCGCAGGUGGUGAUGUAAGUCUGCUGUCAAAGCGUCUAGCUCAACUAGAUACAGGCAGUGGAAACUACAUGACUAGAGUGCGUUCGGGGCAGAGGGAAUUCCUGGUGUAGCGGUGAAAUGCGUAGAUAUCAGGAAGAACACCGGUGGCGAAAGCGCUCUGCUAGGCCGCAACUGACACUGAGGGACGAAAGCUAGGGGAGCG